GCGUGGGAAUCUACCCAGUAGUGGGGACAACAGUUGGAAACGACUGCUAAUACCGCAUAAUGUCUACGGACCAAAGGAGGGGAUCUUCGGACCUUUCGCCUUUAGAUUAGCCCAAGUGAGAUUAGCUAGUUGGUGGGGUAAUGGCCUACCAAGGCGACGAUCUCUAGCUGGUUUGAGAGGAUGAUCAGCCACACUGGAACUGAGACACGGUCCAGACUCCUACGGGAGGCAGCAGUGGGGAAUAUUGCACAAUGGGGGAAACCCUGAUGCAGCCAUGCCGCGUGUGUGAAGAAGGCUUUC
This 300-nucleotide ribosomal RNA is filed under the name uncultured Colwelliaceae bacterium. RNAcentral describes it as "bacterial SSU rRNA". It matches the Rfam family "Bacterial small subunit ribosomal RNA", at positions 115 to 419 of the family's 1533-position model. Lineage: Bacteria; Pseudomonadati; Pseudomonadota; Gammaproteobacteria; Alteromonadales; Colwelliaceae. The record is from RNAcentral.